This is a non-coding RNA of Trichosporon asahii var. asahii CBS 2479, 109 nucleotides long. The record is from the annotation of a RefSeq genome assembly. NCBI's taxonomy places the organism in Eukaryota, Fungi, Basidiomycota, Tremellomycetes, Trichosporonales, Trichosporonaceae.
UCUUCGCUAGUAUAUCGGUUAGUAUAAUCGCCUCUCAAGAGAGAGCAUCCGGGCGCUUCUGCGCUCAGAAUGAUCGCGAUAGAGCAGGGUUCGACUCCCUGGCGGAGAA